AGAGUUUGAUCAUGGCUCAGGACGAUCGCUGGCGGCGUGCUUAACACAUGCAAGUCGAACGGAAAGGCCCUUCGGGGUACUCGAGUGGCGAACGGGUGAGUAACACGUGGGUGAUCUGCCCUGCACUUUGGGAUAAGCCUGGGAAACUGGGUCUAAUACCGAAUAUGACCACGCUCUUCAUGGGGUGUGGUGGAAAGCUUUUGCGGUGUGGGAUGGGCCCGCGGCCUAUCAGCUUGUUGGUGGGGUAAUGGCCUACCAAGGCGACGACGGGUAGCCGGCCUGAGAGGGUGACCGGCCACACUGGGACUGAGAUACGGCCCAGACUCCUACGGGAGGCAGCAGUGGGGAAUAUUGCACAAUGGGCGCAAGCCUGAUGCAGCGACGCCGCGUGAGGGAUGACGGCCUUCGGGUUGUAAACCUCUUUCAAUAGGGACGAAGCGCAAGUGACGGUACCUAUAGAAGAAGCACCGGCCAACUACGUGCCAGCAGCCGCGGUAAUACGUAGGGUGCGAGCGUUGUCCGGAAUUACUGGGCGUAAAGAGCUCGUAGGUGGUUUGUCGCGUUGUUCGUGAAAACUCACAGCUUAACUGUGGGCGUGCGGGCGAUACGGGCAGACUAGAGUACUGCAGGGGAGACUGGAAUUCCUGGUGUAGCGGUGGAAUGCGCAGAUAUCAGGAGGAACACCGGUGGCGAAGGCGGGUCUCUGGGCAGUAACUGACGCUGAGGAGCGAAAGCGUGGGGAGCGAACAGGAUUAGAUACCCUGGUAGUCCAA
Molecule: ribosomal RNA, 773 nt
Filed under: uncultured bacterium
Lineage: Bacteria
Description: bacterial SSU rRNA
Rfam family: Bacterial small subunit ribosomal RNA
Source: RNAcentral